UACGGAGGAUCCGAGCGUUAUCCGGAUUUAUUGGGUUUAAAGGGUGCGUAGGCGGACUGUCAAGUCAGCGGUGAAAGUGCAUGGCUCAACCAUGUAAUUGCCGUUGAAACUGUCGGUCUUGAGUGUAGAUGAGGUGGGCGGAAUUCGUAGUGUAGCGGUGAAAUGCUUAGAUAUUACGAAGAACUCCGAUUGCGUAGGCAGCUCACUAGGCUACAACUGACGCUGAGGCACGAAGGUGCGGGGAUCAAAC
This 250-nucleotide ribosomal RNA is filed under the name uncultured bacterium. RNAcentral describes it as "partial 16S ribosomal RNA". It matches the Rfam family "Bacterial small subunit ribosomal RNA", at positions 524 to 773 of the family's 1533-position model. The record is from RNAcentral.